RNAcentral lists this ribosomal RNA (274 nucleotides) under uncultured bacterium. RNAcentral describes it as "partial 16S ribosomal RNA". It matches the Rfam family "Bacterial small subunit ribosomal RNA", at positions 523 to 796 of the family's 1533-position model. The record is from RNAcentral.
AUACGGAGGGUGCAAGCGUUACUCGGAAUCACUGGGCGUAAAGCGCGCGCAGGCGGCUAUUUAAGUUGGAUGUGAAAGCCUACGGCUCAACCGUAGAACUGCAUCCAUAACUAUUUAGCUAGAGUGUGGGAGAGGAAGAUGGAAUUAGUUGUGUAGGGGUAAAAUCCGUAGAGAUAACUAGGAAUACCAAAAGCGAAGGCAAUCUUCUGGAACACUACUGACGCUGAGGCGCGAAAGCGUGGGGAGCAAACAGGAUUAGAUACCCUAGUAGUCC